RNAcentral lists this ribosomal RNA (253 nucleotides) under uncultured bacterium. RNAcentral describes it as "partial 16S ribosomal RNA". It matches the Rfam family "Bacterial small subunit ribosomal RNA", at positions 524 to 776 of the family's 1533-position model. The record is from RNAcentral.
UACGUAGGGGGCAAGCGUUAUCCGGAAUUACUGGGUGUAAAGGGUGAGUAGGCGGCAUGGUAAGCCAGAUGUGAAAGCCUUGGGCUUAACCCGAGGAUUGCAUUUGGAACUAUCAAGCUAGAGUACAGGAGAGGAAAGCGGAAUUCCUAGUGUAGCGGUGAAAUGCGUAGAUAUUAGGAGGAACACCAGUGGCGAAGGCGGCUUACUGGACCAUGACUGACGUUGAGGCUCGAAAGCGUGGGGAGCGAACAGG